CACACACACACACACACACAGCCUACCCCAUCCAAAAUGUUUCCGACAAAAAUCUGGCACUCCUGGUUCUAAUCAAAAUACUGAACUUUGGAACAAAUUAACAUUCCGCAGCCUCGCAGGGAAGGGGGAACUCAGCCGAGACAACUUCGGCUCACAACCAUAACAAAAAUAGCUCCUCCUGGGGAAGACACAUUCUGCUAACAAGGUCACUUUUGUUUGGCUUCUCCUGCCAUCUGGCUGAGUGGCACCAGGGGCUGGCUCUGGGACCAGCUAAAUUCUGCAGCGUGGAUGGGAGCCGGGUGGCACCGCAGAAGGCUUCUCAGCCUCCUGGCAAGAAAAGUCGGUGCAAAGUUACCUUCAGACAUCUCCAGAAAGUGCACAGGCAGAUGGAGCCCUGGUUUCACCCGGCCCUGCUCUGCUCGGCUCUGCACUCGAAGCUUGAGGGAGGUGUCACUCCAGAGACAGCAACAAGCAGGUGGGGACUGGAGAAGGAGGCGGCAGGGUGGGAGAGCUAUCUUUACCUCACAGAACAUUCCAGAACCCAGUGCUGGCUCCCGGGGGCUGGGAGUCUGAGUUACAGGAGGAAGGGGACAAGCGGGGCUUUAGUUUUCUCCUCCUUCUUCUCCUCCUCUCCUUCCUCCCACUCCUCCUCCUGGGACCACGGGGACAUUCAACAACCUGCCUCUCCCCCAGGUCCUCAUCUGUAGAAUGGAAACCACUUGCUCAGACCCUGAGCAGCUAUGCGGAAAGGGGACAAGGAGGGCGAAUGUCAUUGCCUAGAGCACCUGGCUGAGGUCCUCUGGAGAGAACGCUCUGGAAUUCUGAGCUCUGUGUUCGUUCCAAGAGGGCUUGCAAGCUUCUGCAGCACUCGACAUGACCCAGAUGGUCUGGCUGGAACUCUCUGUGUGUGAGGUGCAGGGCUGAGUCUUGAACAUUGGUACUUUUCCUUUUCCCCCGAAAGAUGAUGCUUCUUUGAUGCCAGUAAUUUUGUCUUUUAAAGUAGCUUGAAAAACAAUGAAUGUAGACACAAAAUAUUGCUUACAACUAUAAGGAGUUUGUGACAUACUGAAGCCAUCUAUCUCCUAGGAGGAAUCCAAGGGGUCCCAGAAUAUCUCCUGGGGACCAAAGGAGGGGAACAAAAAUCUUCAAUCCCAUAGAGGAAGAGACUUCAAAUGACCUACUCUCAAGGAAAAUAGGUUGAUUACAUAUCUUUUUCAGGAUUUAAUAUUUAAAAAAAAAGACAGAUGAAGGGACUUUGACUUCCAGGUGAGCUGAAUCCAGUCUCCAGGGGGUUUGGAGCAAGGUGGUUCAGGGGCCUGGGGUUCUACAGCUGGGGUGGUGGGUGAAGGGAGUCUUAGGGAUUCCCCCAAAGUGGAUUGGAAACUUUACCUCCUGUGUAACAGAGUUGGGAGGCGGGGCUUAAUGGGAGGUAUGUAGGUCACCAGGGCUCCAGGACCCUUGCAAACAGAUCAAUGCCCAUUGUGAAAGGGCUUGGGCUGCCUGUUCCAUCUCUUGCUGGCUCUCUGUCACCUUAUCUUGCCCUACUACCGUCUGCCACAGGAGCAUGCAGCACCAAGUCCCCCAGCAGAUGCAGGGCCCUCACCUGGGACUUCCUGGCCCCCAGAACUGUAAGAACAAAUUCUUAUGCUUCUAAUGAUCCAGUCUGUGGUGUUCUGUGAUAGCAACGCAAAGCGGAGCACCUCUAGAGAUCACCCACCACUUCAAGUACACGCAGCAAGUAUGUAUGGAGUGUUGCCAGGCAGUGUGCUCAGGUCUUGGUACACGGCAGAGCAGGAAAGAGCUUGAAGGCUCCUUCAGUGUGCAUAGAAGAAGGGAGCCAGACGUCCAUCACAUAGCCACUCAGAGAAUGGAGUGGGGUGGGCCGAGGGCAGAAAUUGACAUCCUAGGUAGGGAAACACAGGCCACUGUGAUAUCUCAACAUAGAAAAGGACAGCAGUGGUCCCAGGAUGUUCUUAUUUAAUGGUUAUAGGUUUUUGCCAGAGGACCAGAAAUCCUUCCCCUGCACCCCCACGUCUCUCUCUCUCUCUUUCUCUCUCUCUCUCUCUCUCUCUCUCUCUCUUUCUCUCUCUCUCUCUCUCUCUCUCUCCCUCUCUCCCUCUCCCUCUCUCUUUCCCUCUCUCUUUCUGUGCAGAGGAUUGAACCCAGCACCUUGCACCUGCUAAGCAAGGACUCUAUCCACAACUCAGCUCCUGAGUCUCCUAUAGAAAAGAUAGAUAUUGAUAACUUGUCUUGCAGCUCAGGGUAAAAUAGCACUUUACAGGAUAUUGAGGAAACGAGAAUUGCCUACAUCAGAGAAUGAGAAGGAGAGGAACUGAAGAUGGAGAUGGUGGCUGCAGCCUGUUCCAGGCCUCUGGACCCUGCUGUUGGGAAAGCCCUUGCUACACCUGGAAGAAAGGAGACCCUUGCAAUAGGGUAUCCUGGACAGAGGAGAGUUCAGGGCACCAGAUGACAGGAGAGGCACCGGGGGCUAAUGUGGAAGCCCUGGAGGACAGGAUUUCCACAGUGGGAAUCUGGGUCACCCCGGGAUUGUUUUAUGCAUGGGAACUCAUGGUUCUCAGUAGGCUCUGGACUUCAUCCUGCAGGCAAAGGGAAGCCAUGGAAGGGUCUGAAAGAGAGGAUAUGGUGUGUUUUGCGGAUGUUCUGCCUCUGGGGCUGGGGUUGAGUGGAGGGGGAUGAUGGGGAAGCCGGGGCGGAAGCCACGCUGGGUAGACGUGCUCCUUACUCCACUCAUCUGUCCUGGGGCAUCCAGUCAUGGGAGUCCCCAGGGUCUGGCUGCACCCCAGAGAGACAGGUACAUUGACCCUGGCUCUCAGGUUGUCCGCUUCUUGGGCCCCAGAUUGCUGACACUCACUGUCGGCGUAAUGGUUGGAGGUCCAAGGAUUCACCUCUUCCGCCGUCUGUGCAGGAUGGUCCAGGAGGUGAGAUGUCCUCUGUGCUUCUCAGGUUGUCUGGCCCCGUGUGUCUGUGAUCUGAGCUCUGCUGAGGGUGGGAGUCCGAUUCCCAGGCUGGGGUCAAGUGCACCCCCCAGGGCUCCUGCUGUGGGCCUGGGCAGAGGGGAGCCCAGCGACUCAGCUCUUCCCAGUCAGAGGCUGGGCUCAGCGACUCCAGUCUCAGGCUGGUGCUAUCCCAACUGGCCUCCAUCUUUCAGGUGAAUGACACAUUUUUUCAGUCUCUCUGUGUUUUGAACGAGAGGCCGACAGAGAGAGGAGGCUGUGAAUUACAAUCACAGUUUCCUGCCGCAGAGCACACAGAUGAGCAUUGAUCUCAGACUCUCUUACUGUCAUCAUUUACUGAGUGCUGGAAAGACUUGCACAUAAUUCAGUGGAGGAAAACAGAAUUCUGGUCGCCAGCCGCAUGUCAACAAAACACCCGGAUAAUAUGGGCGGCUGAAACAGAGAGAAGCAAGCCUCGACCCAGCAUUAGUCUCCAGAUCAACAUUAUCGGGGUAUGAUUUACAUGCAAUAAACUGCAAAAAAAAAAAAUAUAUAUAUAUAUAUGAUUUGAUGCUUUAACAAAUGUGCAUCUCCAAGUAACUAUCACCUUGAUGGAGGUAUGGAAUAUUCUGGCACCUGCAGAGAGUCCUGCCAGCCCCUAGAAGCUAGUCUCUCAUUCACGAGUGACUUGCUAGCUGUCAUUGUAGCUUUGCAUUUUUAUAAUUUCAUAUCGGUGAUACCUCUGUGUCUAACUGCUUUUACUGAUAUUUGAGAUCCACCCACAUUGUUCUGUUUACCCUUUUACUGUUAAGGUCUGUUUCACAGUUUGUUCAUCCAUUAGCCUGUGGAUGGACAUUUGUUUCCAGGGUUUUGCAUGUGAUGACUUGAGCUGUUACACAUAUUAGCGUACAAGUCUUUCUGUGGAGUUAUGUUUUCCUUUCUCUUGGGUAAAUAUCUAAGAGUAGCUGGGUUGUCUGGUAGGCAUUUUUUUUGUUGUUGUUAGAAACUGCCAGAUGUUUUUCUGGAGUGGAUGCACUAUGUUUGCAUUCCCACCAAUAACAUGCAAGAGUUCCUGUUGCUCCAUAUCCAGGAUGGUAUGUGGGAUUGUGAGUCUUUCUGAUUUUAGCUAUUCAAAUGGGCAUGCGGCAGUACCUCAUAUGGUUAUUACUUGCAUUUCCUUGAUAACUGGUAUAGUUUGGGUCUGGAACUGAAGGCCCAUGUGCUAUGGCUUGGUCCCCAUGCCCUGGUUCUAUGGGAAGGCUGUAGAAUCUUUAAGAGGUGGGUCCUAGUCAGAGAUAGGUCAUUGGAGGUCAUUAGAGGUGUGCCUUCAAAUGGAAUCAUGGGACCCUGGUCUCUUUCUGUCAACUGAUCAGGGACUGGAACUUCCAAAACUAUGAGAAUAAACCUUUCCUCUUUUUUAAGUUGAUUAUUUCAACUAUUUUGUUGCAGUAACAGGGAACUGGCUAACAAUGGCUAUUUUUUUUUUUGGCAAAUUUUCAUGUGCUUUUAAGAAUUCAUAUAUUUUCUUUUAGGAGUGUCUUUUAUAUUUUUUAUCCAUUAAAAUUAGGUUGUUUGUCUUAUGAUUCAGGUGUAGAAGUUAUUUAAGAUUCUGCUAUAAACACUUAGGCACAUGCAUUUUUUCCAAGUCAUGUUUUUGUUUUAAUUUUUUUAACCAUGUCAUUCAUGAAACCAAGUUUUAUGUUAUGAUAAAGUCCCACUUAUCAACUUUUUAUUUUAUGAUCCAUGUCUUUUAAGUCUUAUUCUAGAAAUUGUUGCCUACUCAAUAUCAGAAAUUUUCUCCCAUGUUUUCUUCUAGAAGUGUUAUAGUCUUAGCUUUCAUGUGUAAGUCUAUGAUCCGCUUUUGGGUAACUUUGUGCAUGGUAUAUGGCAAGAUUUGAUGUUUACUUUUUCCCACAUAGAUACUCAGUUAUACCACCACUCUUUGUUAAGAAACUUUCUUUCCUCAUUAAAUUACCUCAAUGCCUUUGUCAAAAAUAAAUUGGCCAUAUGCCCGAGGGUAUAUUUCUGAACUCUUUUUCAUAUCCCAUGGAUCUUUCUUUGAACCAAUUUUUGGGGUCUAUUUAUUUUUUUUCUAUAUAUCUUUUCAACCACUACCACACUGUCAGGUAAGUUCUCCAACUUUGUCCUUUUUUUAAAAAAAAUUGUCUUGUCAAUCUAGGCAUUGCCUUUUCACAUAAAUUUUAGAAUCAGCUUUUCAAUUUCUACAAAACACCCUACUAGGAUUUUGGUUGGGGUCCUGUGGAACAUAUUCUAUGGAUAUAUUGGGGGAGAAUCAACAUCUUAACUACUGUAUAAGUCAGCUUUUCUUUACUUUGACCAAAUACUUGACCAGAACAACUUACUACGGGAAAAGUUUACUUUGGCUCAUGGUUUCGGGUAACUCCAGUUCUCUGGGAGUUCAGUGAGGCAGAACAUCAUGGAGGAAGGGAGUGGCAAAGGAAAGCAUCUCACUUCAGGGUAUCUGGAAAGCAGAGUGAAAAAGUGGAAGGAACUAGAGACAAACUAUGUAACCCUCAAGGCAUGUUCCCAGUGACUCACUUCCUCCGGUCACACCUCACCUGCCUACAGUCCCCACCCAUUCAUCCAUUCAAAUGGAUGAAUCCAGUACUUAAGUUACAGCUCUCAUAAUCUGAUUAUUCACCUCCAGCAUUAACACAGAAGCUUUGGGGGGGGGGACACCUCAUAUCCAAGCCAUAACAAUUUAAUUCCUCCCAUCCAUGAACAUGGUAUACCAUAUCAUUCAUUUUGUUUAGGUUGGCUAUAUCUUGGUUGAGUUUUUGUUUUGAUGACCUGUCUAUUGGUGGCAAGGGUGUAUGGAAAUCUCCCAGGAUUAUUGUGUUAGGGUCUAUGUGGAAUUUAAGGUUGUGAAGUAUUUUUUUCCAUGUAAUUAGGUGUGUUGACAUUGGGGCCUCAAUAUUUACCAUGGCUAUACAUUCUUGUUGGAUUUUUUCCCCCUGACUAGUAUGUAAUGUCCUUCUUUUUCUCUUCUGAUUAAUAUUUGCUUGAAAUCUACUUUGCCUGAUAUGAGAAUAGCUAGUCCUAUUUGUUUUCUUGGACCAUAGUCCUGGAAUAUUUUUUGCAACCCUUUUAUUUUCAGCCUGUGGGUGUCUUUGCCCAUAAGAUGGGUCUCUUGUAAACAGCAUAUAGUUGGAUUUCAUUUUUUGAUCCAUUCUGCUAAUCUGUGUCUUUUAAUUGGGGACUUGAGACCAUGAACAUUCGGCGUUAGCAUGGAUAUGUGUUUGUGGUUUCCUGUCACUUUGUUUUUUUGCUGUAUUUUACCCUGUCUUAGUUCUCAUUUAGUGGCUUAUUCUCUAUUGAACUUCUCUGUGAGCUUUGGGCAUUGUUUUUCAUUCCUCUGUUUAAAGUUUAACUUUGAGUAUUCUUUGUUGUGCUGGUUGGUUGCUCAUAAUUCUUUUAGUUUCUUCUUGUUGUGGAAUAUUUUUAUCUCCCCUCAAAUUUGAAGCUGAAUUGUGCUGGAUAUAGUGAUCUUGGCUGACAGUUGUCUUCUUUUAGGAUUUGGAAUAUCUCAUUCCAAGUAACCCUUGAUUUUAGGGUACGAGCAGAGAACUCACAUGUGAGCCUUGUUGGUUUGCCUCUAAAUGUGACCUAUUGCUUUUCUUUUGUGGCUUUUAAUAUUCUUUCCUUGUUUUCUGUAUUAGGCAUUUUGAUUAUGAUAGAUCUUGGCAAGCUUCUCAUUUGGCUGGGUCUAUUUGGGUUUCUGUAAGACUCUUGUAUGUGGAUGUCUACCUGAUUUCUGAUAUGUGAGAAGUUUUCUAUAACUAUUUCAUUGAAAAUAUUUUUUAUGCCUUUAGUUUGUAUCUCCAUGUUCUCUUCUAUUCUGGUGAUUCUCAGGUUUGUUCUUUUAAAGUUGUCCCAGAGUUCUUGUAUAGUCUGGUAAUGUUUUAUAUUUCCCUUUUACUGCCUUCUGUGUAUUUAAGAUCAUAUAACCUGUCUUCUGUGCCUAAAGUUCUGUCUUCAAGGGCUGAGGUUCUAUUUUCUAUACCAUCUAGUCUGUUAUUGAUGCUUCCAAGUGUAAUUUGAUUGAUCUUGUCUUUCAAGAUCAGUUGAAGUGGAUUCCUCUACCCAUUUUCCUUAGAGCAUAGUUUUCAGUUGCUAAAAUGUUCUAAGUUGAUCUGGAUUGAGACCCCUUAUAGGUGUGGUGUCCACAGCCUUUGUGUUAUUUCUUUCUGUUUCUGCUACACAAAUGAAUGUCCCUAGGUGGGACUUGAGGGUCCAUCUCCAGCUGUUUCUUCUUGGAGCCUGGACAUUAGUUUAGAUUAUUGUGCCUUCUAUUCUUUGUAUUAAGAUAUAGCGGAAGAUUGAAUGUUAUUGAUUUGUGGGGGGUGCGAGGAGUGUUGUCUUUUGGCUGAGUUUAGUUCAGCAGCAGAGUUUCUACCCUGUGAAUUUGUAGCAUCCCUGUGGGUCUCCAGUAUCUCACAGAAUAGGGGGAAACAAGCAAUAGCAACAACCAAUGCAAACAAUAUACAGCAUUAAACUAAAUACCUGGUUCCUUCUAUGACAUCCACACUGUUAGUUGUCACAAAACCCCAGAAAUGCUAUGGUCAGCAAUUGCCAUCAGCACAAAAAAUAAGGAACCAUGAAUCAUGUCUGGUAUUAAGUCAAACAACAGGUGUCAACUGUGGCAUCCACAGCAGUAAUAAUCACAAUAGCAUUAAUGAUGGGGGCAGGCAUUAUAUAAACCAAUUAGUGCUAAAAUAUUGUGAGAAAUAUAUAAUUAGUUAAGAGAAAAGAAAAUGUGAUAGGGAUAGAGGAAAAAAGUGUACAGAGAAUGCAGAAGAGAUGUAGAGAUGUGAUGGUUAUAAGGAAGGAGGAGAAAAAAUAGAAGUAACAAAAUAAAGGGAAAGUGAGAGAGAGAACAAUGGAAUUUGGUUGCUAUGAGAAUAGACAGAAAGAGAAUCAAGAGACAUAGAAAAAUGAAAAAAAAAUUAAAAAACCAAACCAAAGUGUACUAAUCAAAAACCCUAACCCUCAAAAGGUGAGGAAAAGUAGCUACAUUUUUAAAAAUGCUACAAAUGAGAAAAAAGAAACAAGUAUAUAUGUGUAGAUGUUCAUGAACCAAUCAGCACACACACACACACACAAAAGAAAGAAAAAAGAAAAGAAAAAAAGGGAAGAAAAAAUAACAAGAAAAAAGCCAGAUUUUUUAAUUGAAAAUUAAGCACUCAUUCCCCCUGAGGUGGCCAAAACACUCAAUGCGAAGGUAUUUUCACUGUCUGUGUGUCUUUCUUGCCAUUUCUUCUUGAGCCCUGUCCUGAGUGUGAGAGUAAGGGCAGAGGGUUGUUGAACUCUUCCUCUUUCUGUGUUGCUCACCAAGUUUUCAAUUGGAGUUUAAAACUUCUCAGCUUCCCUUCUCCCCAGCGCGAGGUAGGAUGGAAUGGGAAGUACUGUCCGCUGGAAUUCUGUCCAGGCCUGUGCACUCCUGAGGUGGGGCCGCUGCGGGGUUCUGUGAGGGGAGCUCCUGAAGGUGGGGCCUGGUCUAAUCAGGCCUCAGGGGGAGCUGCUCUGGAGAAAUUAGGUCAACACACCUCUGGGCGCUGGCAAUCGCCAAUCCUGGCCGAGAGUCUGGAUCUCGGGAGUCUCCCUAGGAUUCUGCUCAUGGGAUGAGGGAGCCAACCCUUGACCCCCGUCUGUUGCUCAUGAACACAGGCUGUCCAGGAUUCCUGGGCUCAGUCCCUGAGGGUAUUCACUCCCACCUGCUCACAUUCCCACCAGCUUCAGCUGGUCACGUGAGCCCCCAGACUCAAAGGGGGAAGCCAGCAGGGCUCCUCAUCCCAUCUCUGAUUUGACUCCCCCUGGGUAGAAUACUCUCUAUGCCCGUUGUGCUCUUGUUUUUCUAGGAACACCCAGGUCACGCUUGCCAGGACAGCGUAGUGGUAUCUGCUCAGAUCUCUGGGCUCUGCAGCAGCCACUGCAACAUGGCCACCCCAAAAUGGCUCCACCCCAGCUCUCCAUGGCCAGUUGGGAAACAUGAGUGCUUUUUAUGCACCAGUGCACUGUGCAGCUCUGGAUGAGCUAAGGUGGGCUGCUUUUCUGAUCUCGGGAUUUCUCUGCACCGUCCCUCUCUCUGUGCCCAACCCCUGCUGCUGUUGCUGCUGCUACCAGCUUGGCUCCAAUGUUGUCUUUCUUCUUGGUUUAAUGUACCCAAAUGUCUGAGUCUCUAAGACACUGUGACUGUUCCAUAUUGAGUUUCAGUGAAAUCCCUCUCUCACCCACUCUGCAGAGAAGCAGUAUUCCCACUCCUUGAAUCCUGGGUCAGGGAGCCACAAGGAACGUAGUCCCCCUCUAACCCACCAUCUGGAAUCUCCAUCUUAGUUUUCCACUUUGGGAAUUGUUUCCUUAGGAGCUCCUUUGAAUGAAUAAGCAUUUGGGGUCAUAUUUAAAUGUCUUCCUAUGUGGAAUUCUCUUUUUUGAUUGACAGCACUAUGGGUAACGUAUGAAAUAAGAAUAGUGUUUUAAUGUCAACGCAGUAUAACUCGGUUUCCUUUUUCUGAUCUUUGAGGGGCUGCUGGGGUUGAAGUGCCCGGGCUUUCUGCCCUUGGCACCGUUGACCCUCUAGGCUGGAUUAGUCUUCAUUGCCGUGGCCGGGGUUGGGGGUGGGUGGGGGGCCGUGAUCUGUGCAUUGCAAGGUGUCAAACAGCAUCCCAACCUAAUGGACGCCAGUAGCACCCACUUGCCCCAUUGUGACAACACAAAAUGUUUCCAGACAUUGCCUCAAAGGGGUCAAGUCACCCCAGUUGAGAACGACUAUAGAAUAACAUAAAUGGGUUGGAAAUCUAAAAUUGUAAAAAUCACCUACAUUUUCUCUUUAUUUCACUUUCCUCUCAAUUCUUCCCAUGUCUUAUCAGGCUGCCCUGCACUGAGACCCCCGGCACUAGGCGCCCAUUACGUGACUUGGCUUUUCUCGGCUCCCUUUGCACCUGAGACCUGAGGGUGGUCUUGUUGAUGAAGAGGGGAAAUAUUAAGGUCCCCGUUUGUUAUAAAGACUUGCACAUCUGAGGAACCAGACCAGUGCUUUGACGUGCACAGCCACGUGAACUUCACCCUCGGUCCCAGAAGUUGCUAAAGCCCUUGCUGAGCUCCUUCCUUGCCCUGAAGGAAUGUGUUGAGGUUUUGAAAGAAAGAUCUAAAAACCUGGGCUGCAUGUCAUCGAGGGGAAAGUUCAAAUCAGCACCACAGAAGGGCAGAUGGGAAGGCACUUAGGCAGUCCCCAGAGUUGUUUAGAAGAUGUGGUUUCUGCAGGGGUCUCCAGGCUGGGCCUGGGCAGAGGGAAGGGGCUGUCAUUUACAGACAGAUCAGUGUCGUCGUUUCUGUUCUGUGGCUGGGACAGCGGGAGGCAGAGCCCGCUGUCCGGCAGUGGCCUUGGCUGUGCCUGCUUCCCACAACUCUUUGGUUUCAGCCUGAAAACUUCAGUGUUGGCUGGCGUGGGAAGCUCCCUCGGACGGCUAGCCAAAGUCCCCGAGGGAUUGGGAGAUGUGGGUCUGAGUAGAGACCUACCUUGGGGCUUGGGAUAUUUACUGAACCAGGAUGCUGUUCCUCUUGUGCUUUUUAAAAUUUUGAGAUCAAAUUCACCUAACAUAGAAGUAUCCUUUUGAAAAUAUAGUAUUCGGUGGCAUUUAAUACAUUCCCAAUGUGGCACAACCGUCACCCCAACUAGUUCCAAAAAGUUUUUAUACCCCAAACAGGGAGCCCAUGCCAUAAGCAUCAUCUCUGUGACUCUCUGGCCUCCACCCACCUGUGCUCUGUCUCUGUGAACUUCCCUAUUCUGGACAUUUCCCACAGGUGGAGUCAUAUAAUAUGGGUUUUGUGACUGGCUUCUUUCAUUUAGCACAGUCCCUUCCAGGUUCAUCCACAUCAUGUCAUGUCUCAGCAUUGGUCCUUCUCAUGGCAGGGUGAUGUUCCAGUGUAUGGACAGAUUACAUUUGGUUCAUCAGUUCAUCCGUUGGUGAACAUUUGGGUCGUUUCUGCCUUUUGGUUAUUGAGAAUAUUGCCUUUGGGGGGGGCGGUAAUGGAGAUUAAACCCAGGGGUGCUCUACUACUGAGCUACAACCCUAGCCCUAUUUAUUUUUUUGAGACAGGGUCUUACUAAGUUACCCAGGCUGGGCUUGAACAUGCAAUCCUCCUGCCUCAGCCUCCUGAGUGAGUAGCUAUGAUUACUGUCAUGCACCCCUAUACCUGGCUUCCCGAAAGCUCUUGCAGUCUGUAGCCCUCAGCAUAAUAUCCUAACUCCUUAGCAUGUUGCUCAUCGUGAGGCCCCUUCUGUGUCCUUCACCUGAUACAUACAUGUCUUAAUGGCCUCACCACUCAGAACAACCCCCAGUACCUGGAAUUCAACUAAAUGUGCUCCAGCUCGUGUCUUUGUGCAGGUGAGUCCUGGCUUGGAAUGCUUUCUUUGUCCUUUCUUUACCUUGUGUCCUGGUCUGUUUUCUGCUGCUAUAACACAACACCACAGAUCAAGCAGUUUCAAAAAAUGAAAAAAGAAAUCUAUUUCCCACAGUUCUGGAGGCCAGGAAGCCCAAUCCCAAGGGGCUGGUGUCUGGUAAAGACCUUCUUUCUGGUCAUUCCAUGGGAACAGGGGGGCUUGUGUCAGCUCAGGUCUCUUCUUCUCCUAAUUAACCCUUUAAUGCCAUCCUAGGGGCCCCAUUCUUCUGAUGUCCUCUGGUCUUAAUUGCCACCCAAUAGCCUCAUCUCCAAAUACCAUCGGGCACAUAAAUUUAGGGAUGAAGUUUCCAGCACAUGAUCUUUGGGGACAGGGUCCACUAUAGCACCUGGCUACCUUUUACUUGUCCUUGAAGAUUGGGAUGGAGUGUCAGACCUACCUGCGGGUCUGGAACACAAAACAGCUCACUUCCGAUAAGAAAAAAAAGAACCCCAGUGAACAAAGAGGCUGGAUUAAAUUUCUAGGGGGCACGAAAUUGGAUAUAAUUAUUAUUUGCCUUGCUUAUUCAAUUACUAGAAGUUAUUUAUGUUAAAUAACUGUAGGGCUUUUUUGGGUUCCCCAAAAUAGAAAAUGCAUGAAAGCAGGUAUAUUGCCUAAGGAAACCAGACCCAUUCUUUUUUCUUGAGCCUAUUAGACUGAGCCUUUAAAAAAAAAAGUUUAUUGAGAUAUUAUUCACAUACCAUACAAUUAGCCAUUUAAAGUAUCCAGUUCCAGGGUUUUUAGUAUAUUCGUGAAGGAGUGCAACUAUGACCCAAAGAAUCCCGUAUCUGUUGCCAGAAACUUCCUUUCCCAUCCCUCCUCCCCACCCCUGCCUGUGUAGCCAGUUCUCUGCUUUCCUGGACUGAAUCUUGAGGACGCUGAGCCUGAGGCGCCCCUCCCUCCCCGCCCUCUCUGUCUUGGACGUGGGCUUUGGACAUCUGUGUCAAUGAGGAGGUUUUUCCAGGCAGAGUUUGAGAGUGUAUUAGUCUGUUUUCUGUUGCUAAUAACAAUACCACAGGCUGAGUGAGUUAUAAUGAAAAGAGGUUUAUUUUGGCUCAUGAUUCUGGUCUCAGACUGUGGGGCUACAUCUGGAGAUGACCUUCCUGCUGGCCCAGUGCCAAGAGAGCACAGGAUGUCUUUUGGCACAAGGAAGGGAUGUGUGUGUGCUUGUGGGCAGUCCUGUGUGUGUCUUUUGGUCUCUCUCUCUUCUUAUAAAGCCACCAGCAACCCACCCAAUGGACCCAUCCCAUCCUAAUCACCUCUAAACUCCACAGUGGAUUUAAUUUCUCACCUUUUCCUUUUUUUUUUUUUUUGGUACCAGGGAUUGAGCUCAGGGGCACUCAACCACUGAGCCCCCUCCCCAGCCCUAUUUUGUAUUUUAUUUAGAGACAGGGUCUCACUUUAACACCUCACUUUUGCUGAGGCUGGCUUUGAACUCACGAUCCUCCUGCCUCAGCCUCCUGAGUUGCUGGGAUCACAGGCAUGUGCCACUGUGCCCGGCAAAUUCCCAUCCUCUUAAUACCUCACAAUGAGGAUUAAACUCCCCCAUGGGUUUGUUUUUUUUUGGGGGGGGGAUACGCCCUAUUUAAGCAAAGGGGUGAGGCAGAGGGGAGGCAGAUACAUAUAGAUACAAACUGGGAACGCAAGGUUAAAAUGUGCUUUAGAAGGAAGAUGCAGACAGAGAGAUAAACCUGCAAGGCAGUGUUCAGGGUUCAUCUCCAUCAACAGGAGCAAUGAUGUCAUGAGCGCUUGCUCGAUGAGUUGGGAACAUUAUUGGAGUGCGUGUUCCUUUGAUCAUAUGAGCUGCUGACCAAGGUAGCAGCAUCGGGGCUGGGUGAUCUCUCCCAGACCCCCCACCCAUCUGCGAGAAAGUGAAGAGCAUCACCCCGAGCCCCCUUCUCACCCACACCGUUGCACGAAUGGGGUCAGCGAUCUUCCUGCUGGAUGCCACGUGUCCCCAUUUAAUAGGCUCCAAAACACUCAAAAUAUCUACCGGGUCUAAAUGCCACAGUCAAUGCAGGUGUCCAUCUCUCUUUUUUUUUUUCUUGCUUUGUUUAAUUAAAAAUAAAUAAAUCAAGCAGUCCACUUAGAGGACGUUUCUUCUCUCUGGUGGAUGAGGCAGGGCCUUAAGGGUCUCUUGUAGGGAGAUGAUGACCUGGCAGAGAUGUCCACGUCCUAAUCCCUGGGACUGCAGAUACAGUGCUCUGUGUCAUCACAUCAGCAAAAGGGACUUAUCAGUUAAAGGUCUUGAGAUGGGGAGGUGACCCUCCCAGGAGGAAGGCAGGAGGGUCAGAGAGGGAGAUGGAUGAUAAAGGGCAACUUCAGAACAGGCAGGACCGCAGCCCAGGAAUAGAGCUGGCCUCUAGGUGCUGGAGGAGGGAAGGAAAUGGAAAUGGACCCCCACCCCGACUCCAGAGCAUCUGGGGGAGCACUCUGCACUUGUGACCUGCAGAACAGUGAGAGAAUACAUGGCGUUGCUAUAGGCCCCUCCUUUUGUGAUCGCUUGGCCCAGCAGCCCCAGGAAGCGCAUGGAGGUUUUGACGUAAAGUUUGAGUCUUCCUUGGAGACAGUGGCCCGUCCGAUUGUAGCAACAGCUCUCAAUCACCGAGGGUCAGAACAUGCUGGAAACUGCUCCCGACGCCCAGCAGAUCCCGUCUGAGAAAGAGGUCACCAACAUCAACCUUAUUUUGUAGACCACAAACUAAAGCUCAGAGCACUCUCUUUUAACCAGAGUCAGCUUUGACAUCCAGGGGACACUUGGCAAUGUCUGGAGACUUUUUUGGUUGUUACAACGGGGAUCAGGGUGUUCCUGGCCUCGAAUGGGGAGAGGCCAGUGAUGGAUUUCUAGGGAGCUCCUGGGGGGCAGCCUGCUCUCAGUUUUCUUCUGAGUACCUGCAUUUGGCGGGGUGCACCAGGUUAUUGGUAAAUGAAUGUGCAUUGUGUGUGCUCUUGGGUGUGUUUGUGCUACGUGUGCACAUGGGAUGACAAGGGGCGCAUGCAGGGUGCAUGCGGUAUGUGCCCAUGUGUGUGCGUGUGUGUGUGUGUGUGUGUGUGCAUGCCUGUGUGGUGGGGGAGGUGAGGAGGGAGAGAGGACCCUGCUCCUACCUCAGCCAGAAACCAGGGUGACCAGCGUUCUCCAAAUACAUUCUGCAUUUCUCACAACUGUGCCCCCUAUUUCGUGCCCCCAUAACUGACUGGCACCUUUCUCUGUUCUCCCAGCACCACCCUCUGUAACUGCCUCGAAGCAUUUGUCUCUGCCAGGAUUGUGCCCUUUACGCCUGGCUCAGGCACCAACACAGGUCUCACAAGAAUCCAGGUAAAGCAUGUGACACCCACAGGUACGUCCAUUUUCAUCUCUUUAGGGAAAAAUAAAAUAAAAUUUAUGUUUAAUUUCCUCAUGAGUGACAAAAUAUUUUGGUGUUAUUUAUGAAGGAUUUUAAAAGCACGGGUGAUUUUUAUUAUUAUUAUUAUCUAUUGCUGGGUAACAGUCUGUCCCCCAAAUUAGCGACUGAAGCCAAUCUAUUAUCAUAGAAUUUCUGGCAGUUCUGUGGGUUGACCGGGAGCUAGGGGCCACUCUUGGAACCUCGGUGGCAUUGCAGCCCGGUGGCAGCCGAGCUGGAGUCUCCUGCGGUUCCUUCCCUCCCUUGUCUGCGGCCUUGGUUCAGAUGGCUGUCACAGCUGGAGGUGGCUGGCAUCUCCCUCCAUGGGGCCUCUUCUCUUGGCUUACGUGGACUCCCUCCCAACAUGGAGGUCUCAGGGAAGUUGGACUCUGACAUGGUGACAGAGUUCUUCCACAGCCAGAAUCCGAGAGAGCCAGGCUUCUCGGGAACUAGCUUGGAAGUCAGGCAGGAUCAAACCUGCCAUAUUCUAUUGGUUACCCUGGCCCAGGCCAAAUCCACAGACUAGAGUGUGGGCACCUCCCUUUCUGUUGUUCCCCAGGGCAGAGACUGGCUACUGCUUUGCAAAGUUGUAUAAAAAAAAUUACAUUCUCCAUUAGAUGCAUCUAAUUACAAGAGACAGAAAACGUCUUGUGUCGAGAGCAAGGUACUAAACACGUAAGAUUUGUGGACUAUACAAUCUUUGUUGACUACUGAACUCUGCUUCCAUAGUGUGAAAACAACCCCAGACAAUAUGUAAAUGAAUGGACAUAGCUUUGUUCCAAUAAAACUUUAUUGACAAAAUGGGUGGUGAGUGGGAUUUGCCCUGCAGGACAGAGUUUGCCAACCCUCUGGCCUAUUAGAUGAUGUAGACCUUAACAGCAAGAAUUUAUUAGGUACUUAGCCAAUGGGUGCAUUCAUUUCCUAUGGCUGCUGUAAGAAAUCACCCCAAAUCUGGUGGCUUAAAAAACAAAAACUUGCUCUGGAGGUCAAAAGUCUAAGGGCCGUUUCACUGGCCCCAAAGCAAGGUGCUUGCUGAGCCUCUCUCUCCCUCCCGGGGUUCUGGAGAAUCUGUUCCUUGUGUUUCUGGAGACGAGUGAGGCAUUGCACAUUUGUUCCCGGCUUCUGAGGACAUCUGGGGCUCCUUGUCUUGUGGCUGCAUCAUUCCUGUCUCUGUCUCCAUCUCACACACACUUCUCCCCCGUCUCCCCCUGUGCACAUAGAAUCUGCUUCUGAUUCUCUCCCAUAAAGAUACAAGUUGCACUUGGGAUGUGCCUGGAUAAUCCCAUCUCAAGAUCCUCAGGUUAAUCAUCUUUCUCAUGUCAUUGAAGGUAACACUCACAGGAUCCUGCGUUUAGGAAACAGAUAUAUCUUUGAAGGGCUACUUUUCAGCCUACCACAAGGGAGCAAGUACUUUAACAUCUUUACUUUUCCUACAGAGCCUAAGAGGUAGCUAUUAGUUUUGUUAUUUCACAGAUUAUUAUUAUUAUUAUUAUUAUUAUUAUUUCACACAGGAAAUUGAGAGCCAGGGAUACUUCCUAACUAACCUGCACUUCUCAUGCAGCUGCUAAGUGGCUCAGACGCUCUCCAUUUUCCCCCAAGGAAUAUUACUGGGAGGGAUGCGGGCAGCUACACCAUCCUGUGCAACUUUUUAAGGAAUUCACUUCGUUUCUCCGACCCUUCAGUAUUUCCAUCUGUAAAAUGAGAAUUAUACCCUUCCUGACCUCAAUCAGAUGAAAUUAGAUGAUUUUUAUGACAAUCCCUGGAAAACGAUUAUGUCUUCUAUAGAUGCAGGGGGUUAUUUUUUAUCUAGAGUGGGUUCAUCAGAAAGUCUUAGAGGAAAGAGACCACGUGGCUGAGCAUCAUGAAUAAAAUGCCAAAAUAUUUCUAGAAAUUAUCGGCAGCUUCAAGUGCUGGGGCUUCACUUAAAAGAUAGUGAAAUUCUGAUGUACAUAGAUUUAAAAGUUUCCCUGUUUGAGGAAUUACACCUGGAAGCCACUUCCUACAGAAAGAUAGCAAGAAAUGCUGAAUUAUUUCAAGAUGGAAGGGGGAAGGAAGGUGAGGUGUUUUUGUUUGUUUGUUUGUUUUUGGAGUUGUAGAUGAACAGCAUACCUUUAUUUUAUUUAUUUUUAUGUGGUGCUGAGGAUCGAACCCAUGCAUGCUAGGCAAGGGCUUUGCAACUGAGCUACAGCCCCAGCCCUCCAAAACAUUCACACGAAAUGAGUUCUCUUCUUUAUAAAGAUCAUCUCCUCCCCAUCCUGGCCCUUCAUAACCAGCAUGUUAGGUGGAUAGCAGUCGUUCCAGGUGCUGUUUGGGUCUGUUAACUUUCUGCAGUGUGUCUGUCACCUGGGUACUGGAGAGAGAAUGGUGGAAGAACAGAGCACCUGGAGGUUGCAUAGGUAAGCAGGAAAAUGAAGAAAGGGGGAAAAAGAAGGGCAGGCACUGUGGAAAAACACUUAGGAGGAAACUAGACGUCUUUAUCAAAAUUGAUUUUUAACUGGACAGGCCUCUCCUCUGCAUCCAUGCCAUAUUUAUAAAUCUAGAUGAGAUUGCAGAAAACACAGGCACUUAGAACACAGCUCAGCCGGCAACACAGCAGACAUCACCAAUCAAUCACAGCGACCCAGCACUCCAGGCAGUCACUACCAGUCAAUGAAUUCUAUCCAUCACCUCCGCGGCUACUUGAUAAGCCUAGAACAUAAAUUUCACUGCAUUAAUUAACUGACUUAAUUCAAAAGUCUUUUUCACCUGCUGUUUGUACCCAAGCCAAAGCUGCUCAUUUACUAUUUUCGUAUCUGCCUGGUGUAUUUGCAACACAACAGUAUCAGCUACUGAUGGCUUGCUGUGCACUGAAUUCACCGCAUGGAAUUCUCACAAAUGUUAGUUUUCUAGGUAACCAGAGCUCAUCUGAAUAAGAUGCCAAUCUAAGGGAAGGGUUCCCCUUACUAUGUGUUUGAAGACUGCUGCUCCAGCCAGUCUCAUUUCUGUAGAGGAGUGAACCAUUCAUUGCAGGACCUUCUUCUCCAGUUUAUUGCUGUGUUUAUUAUUAGAUGAUUUGGGGAAUGCAAAAGAAGUUAUUACCCUCCACAACACAGUGGGGGCAAGAUUGGAAAAGGACACCUUGUACUGUGUCUGCGCUUGUGUAGACAGAAAGUGAGGACAUCCAAGCAAACCAGUAAAAUGUAACAAUUGUUGACUGUGGGUGGAGGGAGCCCGGGGAUUCAUUCUAUCAACUUUGCUGUGUGUUUGAAACUUUUUACAAUGAUAAGCUGGGGGCAAGAGAGUGGAUUGAAAUACAGAGAAUAGAUACAGUUAAAAAGCAAAAGUAACUUCAGCUAAAAACCCCUUCAUCCAUGGGCUCUGUGCCACUUCUGUUUUUAUUUUAUUUUUUUUCAAUUUUUACUGAAGUACAAUUUGCAUGGCAUUAAAUUCUCCCCUUUAAGGUAAACACAUCAGUGCUCAUUUUGUUGUGGGACUCACACUUCUGUCUAAUUCUGGAACAUUCCCCAUCACCCCCAAAGGAACCCCAGCCUGGUCUGCAAUUUGUCUCACUUUUCCCUUCCCAGCAACCUCUGAUCCACUCUCUGCCUGUGAAUUUGCCUGUUCUAGAUAUUUCAUUUAAAUGUGUUCACACAACAUGAGACCUUCUCUGACUGGCAUAUUUUGCCAGUGUGUUUUCAAAGCUCUUCCAUGUUGGAACUUGUAUAAGAACUUCAUUCCUGUUGAUGGUCGGAUAGUCACAAUAUGUCACAUUUGAUUUACUCACUCAUCCCUUGACGGAUGUGUGGGUUGCCUCUCUGUUUUGGUGAUGGCAAACACCACUGCCGUGAAUCUUAGUGUUUUCCUGGAUGUGUCUCCAGUUGUCCUGGAUCUAGACCUAGGAGUGCAAUUACUAGGUCAUUGAGAAACUCUGUGCUUGAACUUCAAAGGUCCUGCCAGAGUGUUUUCCCACCUGGUGGCUGCAUUUUACACACCCACCAGCAACAUUUGAUGGCUCUGAUUUCCUCACACCCUCAUGGGUCGCAGUCAAAACACAGAUCCAACAGUCCUUAUUGUCCUUUCUGCCUUAAAAAAAUAGCCAUCCAAGUGGGUGUGGAGUGAUAACUCAAUGUGGUUUGACUUACUUUUCCUUCAUUUCAGUUUUUAUUUUAGUUCUGGUGGAUUUAGGGGAAACUGUCUGCUGAGAUACUGAAUGUACAAAUGCAACAGGGGACCUUAGGAGCGCCUCCUCCUGAGCCUCCUGCAAUUGAUUCUCUUCUUUCUCCCUCCACCUCCCACCUGCCCAGUGCUGAAAGGCAAAUGCUCCACCCUGAGCUACACCUCCAGCCCCACUUCUAUUGAUCCUUAGGCUUCAUCCUGCAUUUCUCCAUGUUGUACCCCAAUCGGUGUUUCCCUAAUCUGAAAAUCUGAGAGGCUCCAAACCCCAAAACUCAUGAUGUCACAAGAGGAAAAGUCUACACCUGACCUCACGGGAUGGGUCGCAGUCAAAACACAGAUCCAAUGAAGAUAUUAUGUACCAUUAGCCUUCGGGCUGGGUAUAUAAGGUAUGCACGAAACAUAAAUAGGUUUGAUAUUUAGGCUCGGGUCCCAUCCUUGAUAUAGCUCAUUCUGUAUGUGCAAAUAUUCCAAAAUCCAAAAUGCUUCUGAUCCAUGCAUUUCACAUAAGGAAUGCUAAACCUGUACUCAUUUUCUUCUACUGUCUAACAAAUGACCACAAUCCUUGUGGCUUCAAACCUUUAUUGGUUCACAGUGCUGUUCUCCUCUGGAGGCUCUUGGGGAAAUUCCACAGAACUGAGAUGCUGCUCCUUUACUGGUAGUUGGCAGGGCUACUCAGCUCCAGGAGACCACCCACAUUCUUUGCCUCCUGGUCCCCUCCAGUUGGCAAUGGCAGGCGAAACCCUUCUUGUGCUUUGAAGCUGACUUUUUCUUAUGAGUUUCAAAGUGCUCUUGUGACUAGGUCAAUCCUGACCAGAUCAUCUCUGUAAUUUAAAGUCAACUCACCUGAGACCUUGUGAUUCAGAUUCACCUGCUGAAUCCCAUCACAGAAAUACCUCGAUCAGUGAGUAAGUAACAGUAAAAGGUGUGUGUAAGUAGCGCCUGGGAAUCUUGCUGCACAGUUGAGAACUUUGUUUCUGUGAGAUCUUUGACAUGUACAUUAAAAUAAGUCUUUUGCUAGCCACGGCUUAAAAAACAAACAAAAAUUAUUUAGUACUAGAGAUUUUAACCCAGGAGUGCUCUACCACUGAACUACACCCCCAGCCCUUUUUGUUUUUCAUUUGCAGAAGGAGGCACUUGUGAUCCUCCUGCCUCAGCCUCCUGAGCUGCUGGGAUUACAGGCAUAUGUCACCACUCCCAGUUAGACAUUUUUAAGAUUAAUGAUCGAGUUUGUUUCUCUUUUGGCAGUGCUGGGGAUCAAACCCAGGGCCUCAUGCAUGCUAGGCAAGCACUCUACCACUGAGCCUGAGCCCCAGCCCCAGCCCUUCAAAAUGUCUUAAUGCGGGACUCUACAAGGACCUCCAGUCUGAAGGCUGAUGUUGGGUAGCAACUGUUUAAUGUAUGACAACGACCUGCCAAUCCACUAGUAUCAUCUGUCCCCUGUCUGUUGUUGUUGAUUGCUGAGCUGAUGCUCCUGCUGGCUUUGGGGGCUCUUAGCAUGUUGAUCAGGACCUUGCUGAACCUCGACAGAGUGAUAAAUUGCACACUUUUUCCCCCUCUCCCGAUUCUGUGGCUCCUUUGAAAAGACGAUCCCUCUGAUGUGCCCAAGAAAAUUCUCUUUGAUGUUGCAAGUCGGGACACUUGAGCUUUUAAGGAAUUUUAAGCAGAGAAAAUUAGUCUCUGCCCAUUUUGAGGCAAGCACGGUCUUGCUCCUCACCGCGGACCUUGGCUUCAAGAGACGCUUUGUUCUCUGCCGUGUCGUUUCCGACUCCUGUCAACGAGUCUAGCUCCCAUAUUCUGAAACAGGAAUAAAUUGUCCCUUGUUAUGUUAAGUAGAAGAAACUAAAGGGUGAACAUGCGUGAGAGGUAAAGUGAUUUGGGAAGAGAAAGCCGAUCAGAGAGUGUUCCCAUUGCCAAGGUCAGGUCAGAAGUAGCUAGAGAUUUCUUUCUUUGAUGCUGUCAAAAUGUAGUAGGUUUUGACUGGUCCAAAAGCGGCACUUCCCAGUGUGUUUCCCUGGGACACUAGUUUCAUAAGAUGAGUGACAGGUGGGAAAAAUUCUAUGGUCAAACAGGUUAGCUAUUAUGGCUUGUUAUGAAUCUCCCCCAGGGAGAUAGAGUCUGCUGUGAUUUCCAAGUUUACCCAGGGCUUGGAUGCCCAGUUUCCUGUUAAGGAAAUACUUGUGAGAUCAGAGCCGAAAGGAGCACACUUUGAGAAGGAUUUGUGUCGAAUUAAUUCUUUGGCUUGAGAUAAUAGAAACAUGCCAACCGGUUGGCAUGUUUGUGAUACCAGUCAAGGAAGAGACACAUCUCUCCAUUUAGGACACAAGUACAUAUUUGGGUCAUAGAUACACAUAAAAGUAUAGAUAGUCACUUUUUUUGUAUCUUCAACAUUUCCUAUUUAUAGAUGAUUAAUAUUCUCCAGUUGAGGUCUUUGAAGCAACCUUGGACGUCUCAGUAACAAUUUUAUUUGCAGUGAAUGGAGAAGAGAAAUAGUUCUUGGCCAUCUCCAAUGGCAGGGAUGCUUGGGUACAUCAUUCUAUCUAAACUUUGUGAUAACUUGACUGAUGUAAGUGUCAAUAUCUUCAGUUUGAAAAUGAAGACAGGGAAAAUCAGAGAGGCGAAGUUUGCCUAAGGCCACACAGUUUUCUAAGAGCCAGGGGGGUGUCUGGAUCCCGUGCAGUCUGACUUGACAGCCCGUUCCCUUUCCUUCAGAGCACCGGGUUCUCUGCCUUUCUCACUGAUCUAUAGUUUGUGCCAUAAUUGAGUACGCUAAUAGUUGAACGUAGAUGGAAUAUUUUGAACUGAGUUGUAUUUCCCCACAGAUCAGCAUUAGGAUUUCAGAGAAAAUCAUCUUCAACGAUGAACAGUGGGUUUGGGUACGUGUGUUCUCAGUUACCCCACUCCUCCUCUAUUCUGAAUGAUCAGGGGCGGGGGAGGAUUACAUAAUGCACCAGGAAACUAACUCUGAUUUCACUUAUUUCCCAAUUUUUCUCUUCAUAAAGGGAACACUAGCUUUUCAUUUAUUGGUGAAAUAAUGCCGGCUCAAACCUCUUGACCCCGGGGAAGGCUACUUUAUUUCUGCGCCUGUUUCCUCCUCUGUAAGAUGGGAGCCGUGAUGUUCCGGGAGCAGAGUGAGGAUCCAGCAAGGUGGGGAAAUGGGAUAAUGACUCUCAAGUCCUUCCGUAAGAGUGCUUGGUGACCGCUAACUUCUAGUCUGGCCCCUCAUUGGGCCUGACUUAAUUUUAGCAAUCAAGAGAAAAUCCAGAAGUCAGAAGGAUCAGGGCCGCCCUGCAGGGCUGGAGACUAGUUACAGAGAAGCUAGACCUGUCCUCUCCCUGCCCUUAAUUGGCUUUGCCGUGACUUAAGGGAUGGCCGGUCAGUCCCCGACUCAGAGCAGACUUGAAAACUCAAGUCAACAUGAACAUACAUUAAUAUUAACCAGAGAACAAAUAUUUGUGAAACUCCCUAGUCCCUUCAUGUUUACCUUUGCUCCUGGAGACUAGUUAGCAGAGGUAACAUCAAACAAAAAGAGUAUUCCCCUCUUCGGGGAAAGUUACACUCCUGGCUCUCGCCAUGGGCCUUAGCCACUCCCUGUUCCUAUCUAUGGGCAAGACAGCUGGCAUGUUACCCAAACACGUGUCAUUUCACAAUGCCCCCACGGUGUCUGCAGAGCGGACACAGUGCCCUGCCAGUGAUUAGGCCGUCUUAUUGAAUUAACGAAUAUUUACAGAAACACGCUCCAUUCCAGUACUUUCUCACAUUUAACUCCAAACAAGAUGAACAGGUUUUGAGUCCGAAAAUAGUUUAGCUCAGGGAAAAUUAUUUUCCCCAAGGAACAUACAGGGUGGAAGACGAAAGAGUUCGACUUUGCUUAGAAUAAAGCUAGGCCAAUAUUUGGCCACUAUUUGUGACCAGAUUCACCAGCCCUGACCUUCAGCUAUUUGAGACAGACUCCGCAGGAUCUCUCACUUCUGCCUGAAAUCUUAACAUACAUGCACACACAUGCACACGUGCACAUGCACACACCGCAUGCACACACGCACAUGCACACACUCACACAUGCACACGCACACACACGCACACGCACACACAUGCACACACGUACACGUGCGCAUGCACACACAUGCACACAUGCACCUGCGCACACGCGCGUGCGCACACCAGGUUCCCCAAUCAGAAUCUCCAGUGGCCCUGUCCACGCGUCCCUCCUUCCCUAGGGUAACUAAAAGUGCCACAGCGAUCUGGAAAACUCUACGCUUUUUCGUUCCUGCUAAUGGAUCCUGUCCUGCUGUCCUCGUCGUGUUCCCACUUCAUGACCCUCUGGGCUUCGCCCCUGGAGGCGGCUUCAGCGCACCUCCUCAUCUUGGGCCAGGGCCGGCUUGGCUGGGCGCACAGGGGGCGGAAGGUUUUCCCAUCCUGCGGCCUCUUGCUCUUAUGAGCCCUCUGGCCCUCGUCCUCCGCCCCCUGUAGAUUAACCCCAUUACAGCGAGUCCACGCGGAGCCCUGGUGAGGCCGGGCCCACCACUGAACUGCACAGCCUCGGAGGGAGCGCUUUGCACAAAGCCCAUUAAGGAGGUGACAGCUGAGCCUCCCUCUAGUAACUCACAGUGGCAAAUCGGAACAAACUGUUCUUGGUUUUUUGUAUUUGGAGGAGUCAAUGGGUUGGGCUGGGCGGAGGGGGGAGGCUGCCGGUGGUGGAGGACGCAGCCUCCCCUUUAGCUUAUAGGGGAUUUAAAAAUAGUGUCUCAAGAAAAUCGUUGCAAACCAGAGACCGCAGGGACCAGUGUAGCUAUCUGUUAGCUGCAUGGGUGGGGGCGGCGGGGCAUGGGCCGGGCCAGCAGCAGGUUUUGUCUUCCAGGGCUGAUGACCAGUGUUCCCCAAGCCCAGAUCAGCGCAGCGCCCCUCGCAGGACAAGGGCGACAGACCCACGGUCCUCCUUCUGUGCUGGGCAGGACCAAGCAACAGGACAGAGGUCCAUCCAGCCUGGGACAGCCUUUCCUUGUGGGACACAGCUCCAGUCCUCCCUUUGUUUUGAAUAAUUUAUUACUUUUUAUGGUGGUAAGAUAUACAUACAUAAAAGCUACCUUUGAAUUUUUGUUUUUGUUUUGGUUUUGUACCAGGGAUUGAACCCAGGGGCGCUUAACCACGAAGCCACAUCCCAGCCCCUCCCCCCCUUUUUUAGAGCCUUGCUAAGUUGCUGAGAAAGGCUGGCCUCCAACUUUCAAUCCUCCUGUCUCAGCCUCCUGAGCUGCCUGAUUACAGUUGUGUGCCAUCACUCCUGGGCCUUUGAAUUGUUUUUAAGCGUGGCAUUAAGGGUAUUCACGUCAUUGUGCAACUAUCACUACCAUCAGGCCAUGGAACUCUUCAUUUUGCAAAACUGAAGCCCUAUCCCCACGAAACACUGUCCCAUUUCCUGCUCCCUCCAGUCUGUGCUCCUUCACCCUACUUUCUGCAUCUGUGAAUUAAGUUCAUAGAGGGACUUGACCUCUGAUGAAUGGAAUCUUGCAGUAUUCGUCCUCUUGUGAUGGACUCUUGUCACUUAUAGUGUUUCAAACUUUAUCCUUGUAGUAGCAGAUGUCAGGAUGCCUUUCCUU
RNAcentral lists this long non-coding RNA (24538 nucleotides) under Marmota monax (woodchuck). Lineage: Eukaryota; Metazoa; Chordata; Mammalia; Rodentia; Sciuridae. The record is from RNAcentral.